AUACGGAGGGUCCAAGCGUUAUCCGGAAUCAUUGGGUUUAAAGGGUCCGCAGGCGGUCAAUUAAGUCAGAGGUGAAAGCCCAUCGCUCAACGAUGGAACUGCCUUUGAUACUGGUUGACUUGAGUUAUACGGAAGUAGAUAGAAUAAGUAGUGUAGCGGUGAAAUGCAUAGAUAUUACUUAGACUACCGAUUGCGAAGGCAGUCUACUACGUAUAUACUGACGCUGAGGGACGAAAGCGUGGGGAGCGAACAGGAUUAGAAACCCCAGUAGUCC
Molecule: ribosomal RNA, 274 nt
Filed under: uncultured bacterium
Lineage: Bacteria
Description: partial 16S ribosomal RNA
Rfam family: Bacterial small subunit ribosomal RNA
Source: RNAcentral